This 69-nucleotide transfer RNA is filed under the name Termes rostratus. RNAcentral's name for it is "tRNA-Trp". The record is from RNAcentral. Lineage: Eukaryota; Metazoa; Arthropoda; Insecta; Blattodea; Termitidae.
AAGGCCUUAAGUUAAAACACAAACUAAUAACCUUCAAAGCUAUAAAUAAAGGAUUCCCUUUAGGCCUUG